AACGAACGCUGGCGGCAUGCCUAACACAUGCAAGUCGAACGAGACCUUCGGGUCUAGUGGCGCACGGGUGCGUAACGCGUGGGAACCUGCCCUUAGGUUCGGAAUAACUCCCCGAAAGGGGUGCUAAUACCGGAUAAUGUCUUCGGACCAAAGAUUUAUCGCCUUUGGAUGGGCCAGCGUUGGAUUAGCUAGUUGGUAGUGUAAAAGCCUACCAAGGCGACGAUCCAUAGCUGGUCUGAGAGGAUGAUCAGCCACACUGGGACUGAGACACGGCCCAGACUCCUACGGGAGGCAGCAGUGGGGAAUAUUGGACGAUGGGCGAAAGCCUGAUCCAGCAAUGCCGCGUGAGUGAUGAAGGCCUUAGGGUUGUAAAGCUCUUUUACCCGGGAUGAUAAUGACAGUACCGGGAGAAUAAGCUCCGGCUAACUCCGUG
This 433-nucleotide ribosomal RNA is filed under the name uncultured bacterium. Its description in RNAcentral is "partial 16S ribosomal RNA". It matches the Rfam family "Bacterial small subunit ribosomal RNA", at positions 29 to 507 of the family's 1533-position model. The record is from RNAcentral.